Molecule: ribosomal RNA, 491 nt
Filed under: uncultured bacterium
Lineage: Bacteria
Description: bacterial SSU rRNA
Rfam family: Bacterial small subunit ribosomal RNA
Source: RNAcentral
CUACGUGCCAGCAGCCGCGGUAAUACGUAGGUCCCGAGCGUUAUCCGGAUUUAUUGGGCGUAAAGCGAGCGCAGGCGGUUAGAUAAGUCUGAAGUUAAAGGCUGUGGCUUAACCAUAGUACGCUUUGGAAACUGUUUAACUUGAGUGCAAGAGGGGAGAGUGGAAUUCCAUGUGUAGCGGUGAAAUGCGUAGAUAUAUGGAGGAACACCGGUGGCGAAAGCGGCUCUCUGGCUUGUAACUGACGCUGAGGCUCGAAAGCGUGGGGAGCAAACAGGAUUAGAUACCCUGGUAGUCCACGCCGUAAACGAUGUCGACUUGGAGGUUGUGCCCUUGAGGCGUGGCUUCCGGAGCUAACGCGUUAAGUCGACCGCCUGGGGAGUACGGCCGCAAGGUUAAAACUCAAAUGAAUUGACGGGGGCCCGCACAAGCGGUGGAGCAUGUGGUUUAAUUCGAUGCAACGCGAAGAACCUUACCUACUCUUGACAUCCAGA